This 376-nucleotide ribosomal RNA is filed under the name uncultured bacterium. Its description in RNAcentral is "bacterial SSU rRNA". It matches the Rfam family "Bacterial small subunit ribosomal RNA", at positions 524 to 898 of the family's 1533-position model. The record is from RNAcentral.
UACGGAGGCCCCGAGCGUUGUUCGGAAUUACUGGGCUUAAAGCGCGUGUAGGCGGGCCGGAAAGUGCCUUGUGAAAUCCCCGGGCUCAACCCGGGAAUGGCUCGGCAUACUAUCGGUCUUGAGGCAGGUAUGGGUCGCUGGAACCUUAGGUGUAGCGGUGAAAUGCGUAGAUAUCUAAGGGAACGCCGGUGGCGAAAGCGGGCGACUGGGCCUGUCCUGACGCUGAGACGCGAAAGCGUAGGGAGCAAACGGUAUUAGAUACCCCGGUAGUCUACGCCGUAAACGAUGCGCACUAGGUUCGAGGUCCACUGACGGUUCUCGGGCCGAAACAAAAGCGUUAAGUGCGCCGCCUGGGGAGUACGGCCGCAAGGCUAAA